RNAcentral lists this long non-coding RNA (611 nucleotides) under Panax ginseng (ginseng). Its description in RNAcentral is "long non-coding RNA (PGIN_LNC010666)". The record is from RNAcentral. Lineage: Eukaryota; Viridiplantae; Streptophyta; Magnoliopsida; Apiales; Araliaceae.
UCCAAUUAUCCUACAUAUAUCAUUAAAACCGCAACAACAAUUAAUCACAUGAAUAUUAACUUUAGGGUUUAAACCAUCAUUUAGGUCACAACCCUAACUUAGCACCUAACCACGUAGGUUAAAUAUACUUAAUGAAUCUGAAAUUACACAUUGAUCAACAUAACUUAAUCGUUCAACUCAAUCUUUCGAAAACAUCUCAUUUGGUUUCAUUUUAUAACUAAAUUAACAAUCAUGUCAAAAUCUUUUAUACUUUGUAUUAUAACGCAUGACAAUCUGCUAUUGUAGUUUAUAUCAUGCCUCAACAUCAAUAACAUGCUUACAAUACUAAUAUGAGUCCAUUGUGCCUGACCUGCAAACAAGCAGACCUCACUGCCCCAGUUCAGGGUGUGGCGCAUGUGGCGACCCCAAAUCCGGAUACUUGAAACCCGAACUCGGUUCUCCACGAUACCAUUUCUUUAAGCUGAAUAAUAAUAAUAAUAAUAUAAUUCGAACUUAAUUUACAUACAUCAAAGUUUACUUUCCCAGGUACGUGACCUUCAAAUACAUUCCUUACAAUACCUGACAAUAGAUUCCAUUGUCUUACUAACUAUAACCAUUAACUCAUACUAAAU